This 372-nucleotide ribosomal RNA is filed under the name uncultured organism. Its description in RNAcentral is "bacterial SSU rRNA". It matches the Rfam family "Bacterial small subunit ribosomal RNA", at positions 527 to 896 of the family's 1533-position model. The record is from RNAcentral.
GGAGGGUGCGAGCGUUGUCCGGAAUCACUGGGCGUAAAGGGCGCGUAGGCGGCGCGGCAAGUCCAUGGUGAAAGCUCGUGGCUCAACUGCGAGUCGGCCAAGGAUACUGCUGCGCUCGAGCACUGUAGAGGCAGGUGGAAUUCCGGGUGUAGCGGUGGAAUGCGUAGAGAUCCGGAAGAACACCGGUGGCGAAGGCGGCCUGCUGGGCAGUAGCUGACGCUGAGGCGCGACAGCGUGGGGAGCAAGCAGGAUUAGAUACCCUGGUAGUCCACGCCGUAAACGAUGGGCACUAGGUGCUUGGGGGAGGCGACCCUCUGAGUGCCGGCGCUAACGCAUUAAGUGCCCGCCCUGGGGAGGUACGCCGCAAGGCUG